GCAGAGUCAGGAGGGAAACCCCAGGGGCCCAGGAGGAUCAGGACAGCUGGCCCAGAGACUCGGAGGCAGGUCCAGGGGGUGCUGGAUGGAGGCCGUCGGCACCAGGCAAGCUGCAUACAAGUCAGCGUGGUGGGCCCCAGAAGAUGAAACCGGCGAUCCAUGAAGAACUGCAAAGCCCCCACGCAGGCUCCCGCUGCUUCUAGGAGCCUGGAGCCCAGUGUGGGGCUCUGCAAAUGUGUUCUCUCCCAGAACGAGUUUUAAAGACCUGAGCCUGAAGCCAUCGGGCUUUCUUUCCUCUCCUCCUCCCUAGGGGUUCAGCCUGCAGACAGUUCGAUGCUGGCGCACUCUCUAUUAAACAAACAUCAUUCCUCACAAUGGCUUCUCACAGCUGGGCCACUUCAGGCCACGCAGGGGAAGAACUCAGCCUGCAAGUCCUGGAAAGAAUGCAAAGCAGUGAUUUGUUCUUUUUCCGGACCCCACACACAACAAGCUAUACAUAAAUGCAGAAAGUGAU
RNAcentral lists this long non-coding RNA (514 nucleotides) under Homo sapiens (human). RNAcentral's name for it is "HSALNT0279101". The record is from RNAcentral. Lineage: Eukaryota; Metazoa; Chordata; Mammalia; Primates; Hominidae.